RNAcentral lists this small RNA (66 nucleotides) under Planococcus sp. PAMC 21323. RNAcentral describes it as "Bacillaceae-1 RNA". The stretch from base 11 to 66 matches the Rfam family "Bacillaceae-1 RNA", at positions 11 to 67 of the family's 67-position model. The record is from Rfam by way of RNAcentral. Lineage: Bacteria; Bacillati; Bacillota; Bacilli; Caryophanales; Caryophanaceae.
AUUGCCCGCGGGCAACUGGUACCGCGACGUCCUGUCGCACCAGUUGCAUGACCCACAUCCUGUGGG